AUGAGUGUUGCUAGGCAACCGCCCGCCAUGAGAGCCUGUGCAUUUUCCAGCCAAUCAAAUUACUGAAUGUAUUUUCAAACUGUGGAAAGGAAAGGAAAGGAAAGAGGAUAUCACUUUUUUCCCCCUUCUUCAACUAUGGGGUUCAUACUUUGCAGGUUCCUGUGUCCCUCCCCCCCUUCGGUCCCCCUGUGUGCGAGUCCCUCAUCUCAGCUUUGGUUGCUGUGCAGAUGGUUCUUUGUUGAUGCUUCACAAUGGGUCUAAGGUCAGUGUGCCUCAUGCCAUCUACACACUCAAACUUCUCCACUCCAGCUGUCUCUAGCUUUUUUUGUAGUUUAUCUAAAAUGUUUCUCUAUCGAGCAUCAGGUCUGCUUAUGUGUACAUGGUUAUAUUGUGGUGAAUUAAGAGGAAGUUAUAAAACCGCAGAUGUAGCGUAGGGGUAGUCUGGACCUCUCAGGCUGUAAACACGUUAACAGAUAUCAUCUUGUUUUCCAUAUCUGAGCCACACCUUCUGUGUAAUCUCUAAAGCUCUUGUCACAUUUCUCGAUUCUUGAUUCUUACAUGUGUCAGUUGCCGGCAACCUUUGGAACAUGUGACAUCUCCGAAACAAACCAGACGCCAGAAUAUCAGAUCAGCCAGAGAAAUAGAAAUGCAAAUCUACCAUCUGUUCUCUGAUCUCAAACCAACCCUUGUUCAUCAUUCAAGAGCUAAUGUUAUAGUUACAUAUUGCUUUACCCUUAAUAGAUAGUAACAAGAUACAAUGUACUAUCAAAAUAGUACACAGAAAGGAAGUAAGAAAGGGUUGUGUGGCUCAAUAUCAGUACAAAUGACACAUUUAAAAAAGCAUUUAACUUACUUAUGCACUUUUGGUUUAAUAAUCUUUCAUCCAAACAGAAUAGAGAUUAACACUGAUCUUUAACAACUUUAAGACAAGGAUCAUAUAUCUGUGGCAACAUACAUUUGAUUUGUAAAACAAUGAUGAGGCCAGAAACAUAAAAAAGAUGUUGUGUUUGUCUGUCUAUCUAAGUAAAAUCUUCAGGGCACUACAAGGUUCAGCAGCAGAGGGCCAUGAGGUCUUCAGGCCAGUCUGCAGCAGAAAGGAGCAGGUAGAGUGAAAGGCGGGAAACUGAAAGGAGGAGGAGCAUUUCUUGCGAAGCAGUAGGGAUUACUGGAAAUUUCCACUUUUCUCUGGCAAGGCAGUUGCAGGGGUGGAGCUAAGAGGUGAAAUAAAUAAGGUAGUACAGCUGAGGUUGAACUGAAGUAGUGCAGAAGGGAAACUUUUGCUACUCUGUCAAAAACAGUUUAUAGCGUGACCACAUAAUAUUACAGUUUCCUUAGUUAUUAUAACGUUUUAUUAAUUACAGUCCCUUUUGAUGUAUAGUUUCAUGUAUUUUUUAAUACCACAUUUUGUUUGAUUUUUUUUUCACUUAUAUCCAUCCGAUCACUGAUACCUGUGUCUCUAUUAAUGUAUCACUGUGUUCAAUUAUGCACCCUCAUUAUACACUACAUCAAUGUAAUAAAAUGCCACAACAUGGCCACAAUAAGUUGUUGAAUAAUUCUUGUGUGUUUGUAUUUUUUGGAUAAGAAUUCAGUACUAAAUAAAUAAAGAAUAAAUGGAU
Dicentrarchus labrax (European seabass) is the source of this 1616-nucleotide long non-coding RNA. RefSeq lists it as uncharacterized. The transcript has 2 exons. The record is from RefSeq and is a predicted model, not a curated record. NCBI's taxonomy places the organism in Eukaryota, Metazoa, Chordata, Actinopteri, Moronidae.